AAGGCCUUGCCCAACGGGGGGGAGACCCCCCGGAACGGUAAACCCUUUGUGAAAACCCCCUUGUUUGCCUCGGCGGCACCCUUUCGAGGGGUCAGCCCGCCGACGGCACAUUAGAAACCCUUUUUUUGAAUUGAAGAAUUAGUCUGAAUCAAUGGUCGAAUGACUAUAAAACUUUCAACAACGGAUCUCUUGGUUCCCGCAUCGAUGAAGAACGCAGCGAAACGCGAUAGUUAAUGUGAAUUGCAGAAUUCAGUGAAUCAUCGAGUCUUUGAACGCACAUUGCGCCUUUUGGUAUUCCGAGAGGCACGCCUGUCUGAGCGUCAGUAAAACCCUUCGGUUUGACGAUUUAUUGUCUCGCCGGCGUUGGCGGUUUUUGGGGGUUCGUCCCCCGAUUCCGUUUAAACACUGACACGCGGAGAUUAAGGUGUUAAAGGAUUAACCCCUCAUCGAUUAGUAGAAAUAUUUAUCUUUGAAGAUUAUGAUUUUAAAACCCCACCCGCUAUACAAAACAGGGAGCUCUUUUUUGAGCACCCGACCUUGAAUUUUGACCUCAGAUCAGACGAGGAUACCCGCUGAACUUAAGCAUAUCAAUAAGCCGGAGGAA
Molecule: ribosomal RNA, 604 nt
Filed under: uncultured fungus
Lineage: Eukaryota; Fungi
Description: eukaryotic LSU rRNA
Rfam family: 5.8S ribosomal RNA (bases 170-323)
Source: RNAcentral